This is a microRNA precursor of Medicago truncatula (barrel medic), 233 nucleotides long. It matches the Rfam family "MIR2655 microRNA precursor family". Lineage: Eukaryota; Viridiplantae; Streptophyta; Magnoliopsida; Fabales; Fabaceae. The record is from Rfam.
UCCUUAACUUAUUUUUUGGUUUCGUUUUGGUCCCUUAACUAUUAAAAAUUUCGUUUUGGUCCCUUAACUAUUAAAAAUUUCAUUUUGGUCCCUUAACUCUUCCUCCGUCAACCACUUUGGUCCUUUAUGUUAGGAUAAGGGACCAAAACGAAACCAAAAAAUAAGUUAAGGGACCAAAACGAAACUUUUAAUAGUUAAGGGACCAAAACGAAACCAAAAAAUAAGUUAAGGGA